GACGUAGGGGGCAAGCGUUAUUCGGAAUUAUUGGGCGUAAAGCGCUCGUAGGCGGGACUGCAAGUCCGUGUUGAAAGACCUCGGCUCAACUGAGGGACCGGCGCGGAUACUGUGGUUCUUGAGGCAAUCAGAGGGUGAUGGAAUUCCAGGUGUAGCGGUGAAAUGCGUAGAUAUCUGGAGGAACACCGGUGGCGAAGGCGGCAUCCUGGACCGACAUUGACGCUGAGGCGCGAAAGCCAGGGGAGCAAACGGG
Molecule: ribosomal RNA, 253 nt
Filed under: uncultured bacterium
Lineage: Bacteria
Description: partial 16S ribosomal RNA
Rfam family: Bacterial small subunit ribosomal RNA
Source: RNAcentral